Molecule: ribosomal RNA, 765 nt
Filed under: Arthrobacter sp. H57
Lineage: Bacteria; Bacillati; Actinomycetota; Actinomycetes; Micrococcales; Micrococcaceae
Description: bacterial SSU rRNA
Rfam family: Bacterial small subunit ribosomal RNA
Source: RNAcentral
CGAUGAUGCCCACUUGUGGGUGGAUUAGUGGCGAACGGGUGAGUNACACGUGAGUAACCUGCCCUUGACUCUGGGAUAAGCCUGGGAAACCGGGUCUAAUACUGGAUACGACCUUCUGGCGCAUGCCAUGUUGGUGGAAAGCUUUGGUGGUUUUGGAUGGACUCGCGGCCUAUCAGCUUGUUGGUGGGGUAAUGGCCUACCAAGGCGACGACGGGUAGCCGGCCUGAGAGGGUGACCGGCCACACUGGGACUGAGACACGGCCCAGACUCCUACGGGAGGCAGCAGUGGGGAAUAUUGCACAAUGGGCGAAAGCCUGAUGCAGCGACCCGCGUGAGGGAUGAAGGCCUUCGGGUUGUAAACCUCUUUCAGUAGGGAAGAAGCGUAAGUGACGGUACCUGCANAANAAGCGCCGGCUAACUACGUGCCAGCAGCCGCGGUAAUACGUAGGGCGCAAGCGUUAUCCGGAAUUAUUGGGCGUAAAGAGCUCGUAGGCGGUUUGUCGCGUCUGCCGUGAAAGUCCGGGGCUUAACUCCGGAUCUGCGGUGGGUACGGGCAGACUAGAGUGCAGUAGGGGAGACUGGAAUUCCUGGUGUAGCGGUGAAAUGCGCAGAUAUCAGGAGGAACACCGAUGGCGAAGGCAGGUCUCUGGGCUGUAACUGACGCUGAGGAGCGAAAGCAUGGGGAGCGAACAGGAUUAGAUACCCUGGUAGUCCAUGCCGUAAACGUUGGGCACUAGGUGUGGGGGACAUUCCNCGUUUUCCGCG